GUGCUCACUUCGGCAGCAUAUAUAGGUACUGAAGUUAGAACGAUACAGAGAAGAUGAGCAUGGCCCUUGCACAAAGAUGACAUGCAAAUUCGUGAAACAGUCAAUAUCUAA
Small nuclear RNA from Pipistrellus kuhlii (Kuhl's pipistrelle), 111 nucleotides. Lineage: Eukaryota; Metazoa; Chordata; Mammalia; Chiroptera; Vespertilionidae. The record is from RefSeq and is a predicted model, not a curated record.